AGUGAACGCUGGCGGUAGGCCUAACACAUGCAAGUCGAACGGCAGCACAGUAAGAGCUUGCUCUUACGGGUGGCGAGUGGCGGACGGGUGAGGAAUACAUCGGAAUCUACUUUUUCGGGGGGGAUAACGUAGGGAAACUUACGCUAAUACAGCAUACGACCUACGGGUGAAAGCAGGGGAUCUUCGGACCUUGCGCGAUUGAAUGAGCCGAUGUCGGAUUAGCUAGUUGGCGGGGUAAAGGCCCACGAAGGCGACGAUCCGUAGCUGGUCUGAGAGGAUGAUCCGCCAGACUGGAACAGAGACACGGCCCAGACUCCUACGGGAGGCAGCAGUGGGGAAUAUUGGACAAUGGGGGCAAGCCUGAUCCAGCCAUACCGCGUGGGUGAAGAAGGCCUUCGGGUUGUAAAGCCCUUUUGUUGGGAAAGAAAAGCAGCAGGUUAAUACCCCGCUGUUCUGACGGUACCCAAAGAAUAAGCACCGGCUAACUUCGUG
Molecule: ribosomal RNA, 492 nt
Filed under: uncultured bacterium
Lineage: Bacteria
Description: partial 16S ribosomal RNA
Rfam family: Bacterial small subunit ribosomal RNA
Source: RNAcentral